AGGCUCUAAAGAGCCUGUGUCGCUCACCUUGGUACAUGUGAAUAUUUAACAAAAGAAGCAGAUAGAUUCAUGACAAAAUUGUGUUUUGGUGAUGGUGAUGUGUUUGUACAUCUUACUUUACUGAACAUUCUUGCUGCUUACAAUUAUCUCUAUCUAUAAUGAACUUGGCCCAGUAGUUUCAGUGGAAAAUAUUAGUAAAAAUUUACAAAUUUUAUGAAAAUUGUUAAAAAUUUACUAUAAAGGACAAUAACUCCUUAGGGGGUCAACUGACCAUUUCGGUCAUGUUGACUUACUUGUAAAUCUUACUUUGCUGAACAUUAUUGCUGUUUUCAGUUUAUCUCUAUCUAUGAUAAUAUUCAAG
RNAcentral lists this long non-coding RNA (361 nucleotides) under Mytilus galloprovincialis (Mediterranean mussel). Lineage: Eukaryota; Metazoa; Mollusca; Bivalvia; Mytilida; Mytilidae. The record is from RNAcentral.